This 69-nucleotide transfer RNA is filed under the name Priolepis hipoliti (rusty goby). Its description in RNAcentral is "tRNA-His". It matches the Rfam family "tRNA". Rfam says of the family: Transfer RNA (tRNA) molecules are approximately 80 nucleotides in length. Their secondary structure includes four short double-helical elements and three loops (D, anti-codon, and T loops). Lineage: Eukaryota; Metazoa; Chordata; Actinopteri; Gobiiformes; Gobiidae. The record is from RNAcentral.
GUUAGUAUAGUUUAAAAAAAACAUUAGAUUGUGAUUCUUAAAAUAGAGGUUAAAGCCCUCUUACUAGCC